UACGUAGGGUGCAAGCGUUGUCCGGAAUUAUUGGGCGUAAAGAGCGCGUAGGCGGUCUGAUAAGUCAGGUGUGAAAUCCCCCGGCUCAACCGGGGAACUGCACCUGAUACUGUUGGGCUUGAGUGCAGGAGGGGAGAGCGGAAUUCCUGGUGGAGCGGUGAAAUGCGUAGAUAUCAGGAGGAACGCCGGCGGCGAAAGCGGCUCUCUGGCCUGUUACUGACGCUGAGGCGCGAAAGCUAGGGGAGCAAACGGG
This 253-nucleotide ribosomal RNA is filed under the name uncultured bacterium. Its description in RNAcentral is "partial 16S ribosomal RNA". It matches the Rfam family "Bacterial small subunit ribosomal RNA", at positions 524 to 776 of the family's 1533-position model. The record is from RNAcentral.